This is a long non-coding RNA of Daphnia pulicaria, 428 nucleotides long. RefSeq lists it as uncharacterized. The record is from RefSeq and is a predicted model, not a curated record. The transcript has 3 exons. NCBI's taxonomy places the organism in Eukaryota, Metazoa, Arthropoda, Branchiopoda, Diplostraca, Daphniidae.
UUGCUGUGAUUUCCAUUUUUGCAGUUUUUUAUCAUGAAAACUUCAGUGUGCUUCUUAGUAUAGCACAUAAUAGAUCCUUAAGCCAAUGCUGACCUUUGUCCAAGAAGGAAGAGGGACAUCCAGCAACGUUCUGCUCCAUCCUUAUCUUCCCGACGUACACUUAUCUAGCUUCACUGCUUUUGCGGCUACAACUUGUCCUACUUCACCGACGAGUUGGAACACUUCAGUGGUCGCUACCUCCUUUGCUGUUACACACCUGCAGUUACUAACCACGGGAUUAUGCCCAGGUAAUGCAGAAGAGACGUCGAGAAGAUGGACACCAAAACAACGCCGGUAUCUCUAAAAUGUCAGCGUGGAUCAUCAUUUGUUAUUGGUAACAUGUUUGUGUUUGUGUAAGUUAACCCGUUGUCUGCCACGCCUUUGUUCUC